Non-coding RNA from Petromyzon marinus (sea lamprey), 4891 nucleotides. The record is from RefSeq and is a predicted model, not a curated record. Lineage: Eukaryota; Metazoa; Chordata; Hyperoartia; Petromyzontiformes; Petromyzontidae.
CAGGCUUUCUUUAAGGGACCGCGGCGUUGUUGACGACUGUCUUCAGAUUGACGAGUCGAAUUGCCCGCGACGGUGAACGCGCUGUAAAUCGCCGCGGUCCCUGCGCUGCCCCCCGGCAAACUCGACUGGUUGCGCGGCCUCCCGCAGGCCUCUCGCAGGAGACCUCGCAGGUGUCACAGGCUGUGUCUCGCCCGUGGAGGACAUUAUGAGCCGUGCAGCACCGAGGCCAAAGGAUGCAAUCCAGGCCCUGUGCCGGCUGCUCUCCAGCCUCGGGCUUGGCACGGUCAGCCCAGAAACAAUUUCGGCAAGCCAAGUAUGACCGACCAGAGAGUGUACCUGUAUUCUGGUUUCUCCUGUCCCGGGUGCUUGUGUGCACCACGGGCGAUGCUGCUGCUGCGGUGGUGGAGGAGAACAGGAAUAUGGAAAUGACAGCGCUGGACCGGAAGACACCUGAUGAUGUCAUCUCCAAUGUGAAGGCUGGGCUGCUGCAUCAUGGUUACGUGGCCCCUGAGAUCUUCCAGCUGGGGCGAGCCCAGCAGCUGGGUUCUCUGGAGCUGCUCCUCGCAUUCUCAUGGCUUCUUCACACCACCCACUUCCCGGUUCGCCUCCUGACCCAGGGUGCUCUGCAACUUGACGAUGGUGCCAUGAAAUUGUUUCCUGAGCUCGCAAACGGUGACCUGCCCGGUGAGGAGCGGGUGGCGCCUGCGUCCCGUUGAUGGCGCCCCGUUGCCCAAGGAUGGCGUGCACUAUGCGCUGUGGCUCAUGGGGAAGCUGCGCUUGCGAGUGCGGGCGCUGCACAGUGCGCGCCAGCAGCUCUGCACCCUGCUGCACCGUGUACACUCCACAUGCAGGCAGCCACACCAACCUGGCAAACACCUCUCCGGCGCCGAGGCAUACCUGCUGAGACACCCGAAUAGACUGACGCAGGUCCUGCAGCAGCUUGGAGAAGAAAAUGCCAGACUGGAGGCCUUCAUUGAGUGGAGGAAUGUGGAGCCUGCUUUCUGGCAGUGGAUGGAGAGUGUUGUGGAAGUGAAGCUGAUUCAGCUAGAGCAUCGGGGUCGUUGCCCCAGCUCAGCUGUGCCGUGUCACCGGGGGACGGAGGGGGUGCGGGAUAUGGCCCUCGAUUCUCGGCUCGGCUCGGUGAGCGAGAGUCUCGCGAGGAUUGAAAGAGAUGUACGCUGCGCGCUGUGGCCCAAUCACGCUACGUGGCUCAGUGAGGAGAGGCGACUGCUGCAGUGCGGUACUGCACCAUCAGCCCGUGCGAGAUCUCGCCGAGUCAGCACAGCAGGAGGCGAGCGCGGUGGUGCGAGCUCUGCAGGCUCCAGCCCAGCGGCUCACCGCCACCUUGCUGCUUCUGCACCUGCCCUUCCACCUACAUCUGAAGCAGCAGAAGCAGCUGCAGAGACAGCACCGGGGCGGGCACCGGCAGGAGAGAGAAAGCGGCGCGAUGGGGACGCCAGAGUUGGCGUUGUGGGAGGCGACGCGUGAGCUGGGCGGGCAUCUCACCCGCCUGCGUGCCUCGCUGAGGCAGCAGCACAGGCGUUGGCGGGAGAGGCUGGAGGCCAUGCUGGACGGCAAGGAGAACAUCGUGUCACUCCCGCCGCCCCACUCACACCACCGGAUAGGUGGAGGCGGAGGCUGUGGGACGAAGACGAGAAAGGACAGAUGCUGUCAGCGACGUAAGUGUUGGUUGAGGCAAUGCAAAUGAGCUACCAGUGCCUCUGCUCUGCAGAAUCAAUAACAUGGAGCAGAGACACCCGGCGCAUUCCGGCACUAAGAGACACAAAUGUGACCAGUGUUCAUAUAGCACGGAUCACUCUGGCAACAUGAAGAAUCACCAGCGAACACACACGGGCGAGAAACCAUUCCAAUGCCCUGUGUGUGGGAAGGCAUUUUCACAGCCAUCAGCUCUUCACAAUCACCAGAAAACACACACGGGAGAGAAGCCCUUCCAGUGCACUGUGUGUGGGAAGGCAUUUGCACGCUUAUCACAUCUUCACAGACACCAGAGUACACGCACGGAUGAGAAGCGCUUCGAGUGCACUGUGUGUGGGAAGGCAUUUACACGAUCAGGAGAUCUUCGCAGACACGAGAAAACACACACAGGCAAGAAGUUAUUGAAGUGCACUGUGGAUGGGGAGGCAUUUACACAGUCAUACAUUCACAAUCACCAGAAAAUGUACACGGGUGAGAAGCCAUUCAAGUGCACUCUGUGUGGGAAGACAUAUACACGGUCAACACUUCUACGCAAUCACCAGAGAACACACACAGGAGUGAAACCUUUCAAGUGCACCAAGUGUGGGAAGACAUUUACAAUGUCAGGAAAUCUUCACAGGCACCAGAAAACACACACAGGUGAGAAGCCAUUUAAGUGCACUGUGUGUGGGGAGGCAUUUACAAGGUCAUCACAUGUUCGCAAUCACCGUAGAAUACACACAGGUGAAAAGCCCUUUAAGUGCACUGUGUGUGGGAAAGCAUUUGCAUGGUCAUCGGUCCGAAACAAGCAUCAGAAGAUCCACAAAGAGAGGAAGGUGAAAUCGAAAUGUAAAAGUCAAGGUUGUGCAAUGACCUCAUCUUUUGUGAAAAACGAGAAGAAAUUACCAGCUUCAUAACCUGGCCAGGCAUGGAGGUGAAAUGUGAAGAUGAUUUGACUGUUGUGAAAAAAGAGCCAGAAGAACAUUCCAGCUUCUCAACCUGGCCAGGGGUGGAGGUCAAAUGUGAAGAUGAUUCGACUCGUGUGAAAAAAGAGCCAGAAAAAAAUUCCAACUUCACAACCUGGCCAGAAGUGGAGGUAAAAUGUGAAGAUGAUUCGGCUCUUGUGAAAAAAGAAACAGAAAAUUCAAGCCUCACAACCUGGCAAGGAGUGGAGGUGAAAUAUGAAGAAGUUUAGACUCCCAAGACCUGACCUCCAGUUUCAUGCAGGCAGUGUGAAGCAGGAUAAUAAUGUGGACUCUGAGGAAGAGUGAGAUGACCCCCUGCAGUUACUGGUUGUGGAGGUGUGUGGGUGGAAAAUCAUGGAUGAUGCAGAAUAGGAGCAGCCAGCAUUGUGGACCCUGGGAUGUGGGUAAAUAUGUAACCAGGAGACCAAGUUGAAGAAGUUACACUGUUCACGGUAUUCAUAUACUUAUUUAAUAGCACAAUAAUUACUUUUAUUGCCACAACACAAUUGGGGUUUUCAGAAAAUGAAGCCUGACAGAAACUCGAGGAAUAGUCGUUGACACAAGGAACAUUCCUCAUGCGACCCUCAACAGCCGGGCACAUUUUGAUUUAAAGCUUUCGUGACUGCAGUAAUUCAUAUUCUUAGUUUUUUCGGUAAAGUCACGUUGAAGAGAAACAACAAAAUAAUAAAAUAUAUAUAAAACAAUAAAAAAUUCUCACGACGUUUCGACCAUAACUCAAACGGUCAUCUUCAGGUGUGUUGGUUUGCAUAAAUUUAUUUUAAACGGCGCAUUUAUUUAUUACGAAAGCCAAUGGAAAAUGUAAUAUAACCCAGAUUUAUGCCUCAUCUCCAAACACAAGAAUGGACAACCACUAACUGCUUUGCGAUCAAUUUUAGCCAAUUUUAUAAAGAGCCAACACAGACCAGUGGUCACACAUUGGAUUACUGAUACCAGUCAUAACCUCAAAAUCAUGCCCACCUAACUUUUGGAAGGUCAACUGGCCUGGCUACAAAAAAAUAUAACCAAAGUGCAAUUGAACAACCUGGAGCCAGAUCCUGAAAACUUUGAAGUUCAGCAAUUCUUUUUUAUAUCUGCUGCAAAAAAAACACCCGAAGAGGGUUUCGGAAAAGCUACACACCAUGUUCGUAGCCAAAAUAGAACAUCUCUUGAGAGAGUUCAACAACUUGUGACCAAAAUAAGCACACCACACUACUGGAGUCCUUAAAUUGUGUGCAAAGAAAACGUUGGGAAGGGCGUCACUACAGAUUUUGACAUAAUUCAAUCCAGCCGUAAAGCCUGGCAGCUCCUUCGUAGGAACCUAGGUACCUAAAACGAACAGCACAGAUAGCAAAAAAUAACAGCGAAUGCUGCUUUCUAAGAUGCUGUCCUGCUCAAAAACUGUUUUGAGGAAGUUGUCCUCCCGCAUCUCCCAAUUAUCUCGGCUGGCUACUUAAUGGUUCGAAAGAAGUUCAACAUACAAUGUAAUGUAUAACUUGUAAUACUGCAUAUGGCCACCAUGGGCAGUACGUAGCCAUGUACAGGGUGCUUCAAAAUGUUUGUUAGCACUUGUAUGGGACUAUCGUUUUUAAUGGGAAAAUAACGGAUAAUACACUAACAUGAUAACAAAUGUAUGUUAAUAGCUUCAAAGAGUCUCCACUUGUUCGCCAUCAUUGUCAACAUGCCUGAAAUAUUGUCCAGGUGGUGUCCAGAAUCCGGAGGGACAUUCUUGUGGUAUUGUUGCAAAUUCUCGGAAGUGUUAACAUUUUUAGAAGCACCCUGUAUUUUACUAAAAAUGCGUAACGUAAAAAAGACUAGUGAAUCAUAACGGCUGCAUGUGGCAGGAAACCUGAGUUCCCAGUGAAAACCCCUGUUUAUGAGAGGUGCCACUCCACGAUAACCGUUUAACUUUUAAUUUGAAUCCCUGUAAUGGAAAUUAUAUACGCAUGUGUGUUAAAAUGCAUCAUUAAUGUUUUUGUUUAUACAUGUUUCCAUGAUAUGAAAAACAAAAGUAAUGUGUUCAACAAGUCAUCCAGGAGCAACGCAAUUCACUCCGACAGCAAAUGUACAUUUAUUACAUUCAUUGUUGUCAAGUGUUGAUGUUUAUUUCCUUAAUUAAAUUGUGUUGGAGAGUGUUAUGGAAACAAUAUAAUGAGGUUCAAAGUGAUGUUUAAUGAUGGUACAAUUGGUGAGCUGUGUUGGGGGUGCUGGAGAGAAGAGCCUCAAGAAUCUGG